Small nucleolar RNA from Ochotona princeps (American pika), 68 nucleotides. Lineage: Eukaryota; Metazoa; Chordata; Mammalia; Lagomorpha; Ochotonidae. The record is from Ensembl.
GGUGCAAAUGAUGCCUGUGAGUGACCAAAGCCUGACUUGCUGAUGAGUCCUGACUGACUGACUGCACC